Molecule: long non-coding RNA, 873 nt
Organism: Brassica oleracea var. oleracea
Lineage: Eukaryota; Viridiplantae; Streptophyta; Magnoliopsida; Brassicales; Brassicaceae
Exons: 2
Source: RefSeq, a predicted model, not a curated record
UUUUUCCACGCGUUUGGUGUUCCUCGUCUUCUCCGUCUCUCGACGAUCGAAAGUCAAAACCCACCAUGUCUGCGCUCGCUUUUUGUUUGAGACGAUCGACGACUCUGUCGGUCAUCACGGCGUCUCCACCGUGUUCUCCGUCAGACGAAACCCUAAACCAAUCACGGAAGCUGAGAGAGACUCUGUCGGGAAGUCACGUCGUCUCCUCCAUCUUCUCUCCGUCAGAAAUUGGGCUUUUUUCUGUUUUGCUUUGAUUCAGGUGUGUCAAUUUCGAGUGAGUUUGGUGAAAGAUACGAAGAAACAUGAGCUAAUGUGGGAGAGCCAACACGAUGUGUUCUGAUCUUUAUGUGUUCUGAUUAACUUUGUGUACACUUGGUGGCAAUCUUACAACGUAUGAGCUUGCUGCUAGAAACGAUUUCGUACUUGCGCUUCGGGCUAGGAUUGAAGCUAUACCUGAUGGGACUGCGGGUGGUCCUAAAAGCACUAGUGCGUGGGCUCCUUCUACAACGUCUCGUCCUGAUAUCAAAUUUGAUUCAGAUGGGCGUUUUGAUGAUGAUUACUUUCAAGAAUCACAUGAGUCCAGCCAGUUCAGACAGGAGUUUGAGAUGCGGAAAAUUAAACAGGCAGGUUUAGAUGCUUUGAAGAACAUGGCAUCUGAUAUGAACGAGGUGAGUUUCUUGAACUACAUCUCUUAUAACAGACUUCCAACUUAUUCAGUAUUUGAGCUGAUGAACCAUCUGAUAUGAUUGUGUAAUGUUUUGUAUUUUUAUGUGUCACGGACUAGAAAGUCUCGUGUGUCUCUUUGUAUUUUUAUGUGAAAUAGAUUUGGUAAUAAAAUAUCAGCAUUAAGGCUCGUGUGUCAUUCUUGAACCA